Erinaceus europaeus (western European hedgehog) is the source of this 346-nucleotide unclassified non-coding RNA. Its record names the gene 7SK. It matches the Rfam family "7SK RNA". From Rfam's summary of the family: 7SK was discovered as an abundant small nuclear RNA in the mid-70s but a possible function has only recently been suggested. NCBI's taxonomy places the organism in Eukaryota, Metazoa, Chordata, Mammalia, Eulipotyphla, Erinaceidae. The record is from Ensembl.
GGAUGUGAGGGCGAUCUGGCUGCAACAUCUGUCCCCCCACUGAUCGCCAGGGUUGAUUUGGCUGGUAUGGCUGGCUAGGGGGGUGUUCCCUUCCUCCCUCACCACUCCAUGUGCAUCUCUCCGGAAGCUGAGCGCUUGGUCAAAGAGGACGGCCUUCCCAGAAUAGAGACGGACUGGUCUUCUGUCUAGGGUAUAGGAGUAGCUGCGCUCCACUGCUAUAACCUCCAAACAAGCUCUCAAGAAAGACUAUAACAUUUCAAAAAGAAUAUGGAGAAGAAAGGUUUAGGAGUAAAAUGAAGUAACUAUGAGAAAUAUCUAACUCUAUUAGAAAAGUAAAUAUAAGGAU